GUUUCCACAUCAACAAAAGCAAAGCUGCUCAGGAGGAACCACUGCUGUUCUCCAUAACCACAGCACUGUCUCUGUAAAGUGCUGGUGUUCAAUCUCCAUGAACAGUUUUGUCAGUGGACUUGAAAGAGACUGCAAAGUUCAGUCCUUGAGAGUUCCUCCAGAUUCCUCUGGCGUUCCUGCUGCCUGAGAUGUUCUGCUGUGUUGGAAGACCCCCUCCAUCCUCUCCCUGCUCAAGAAGAGGACGCAACUGGGCCCUGGAAGACCAGCUGGGUGGAGAGUGAAGGCAGGAUUGGCUCUGGGAGUGGACUCCUGAUGAUGAUACGGUUGAGAGUAAAUGUGGAUGAACAUCACUCCCCUCCUGCUGAUGGAGCAACACGGUUUCCUUGCCUCUCUCUGCCUGCCCUUCAACACCAAAUGGGUGAGUUUUCCUCUUUUCCUCUUUUUUUUUUUUUUUUUUCCCAAUCCUUUUACCCAUACUCCUUUCCAAC
This 488-nucleotide long non-coding RNA is filed under the name Calidris pygmaea (Spoon-billed sandpiper). RNAcentral's name for it is "lncRNA (ENSCPGG00000001835.1)". The record is from RNAcentral. Lineage: Eukaryota; Metazoa; Chordata; Aves; Charadriiformes; Scolopacidae.